RNAcentral lists this unclassified non-coding RNA (657 nucleotides) under Hevea brasiliensis (rubber tree). Lineage: Eukaryota; Viridiplantae; Streptophyta; Magnoliopsida; Malpighiales; Euphorbiaceae. The record is from RNAcentral.
UUUGCUGGAAAGCAAGUUUUAGAGGUGGGCACCUAAUUUUCAGGUGAUUUUGUAGUGCUCCACAGUGCUUCACACAUUGAUGCUUGAGAUUGAUAAGAAUUUAUUGGUGUUGACUACAUUAGUUCUUGUUGAUGAAUAUGUUCAUAUUCUGCUCCAAUUAAAAAUUUUUCAAUUUUGUAUUUUCUUCCUAUAAUUGUCUGUAUCCCUUUGAGAAGCAGUUAUUUUUAUGCCUGUCCUUUUUAUUGAUGAUUAUGUAUCAACCCAUUAAUCAAGAGACUUUCAUUACGAAAUUAGUUCAAAGCUUCAUUUCGCUUUGAAUAUGAAACUCCAAGGCAAAGCUAGGCAAUGCCAUAGUGAGAGAUGAGUGUUGCCACAAGUCAUCAUACUUACUGUCUUUUUCUCUUUAAGAAUGUCAUAUAAAACUCAGAUGUGAUGAUCCUUAUCUAGAUUUAGCAAAGAACAUCAUUGAAGAGCUUUAAGGGUAGGAACAAUUAAUGGAACAAAUUCAUCAGAUAUUUCCUUUUCCUUUUCAAAUAAAUCCUUGAAAUGUAGGUUCAAUGAGCAUGAUAGGAUUUAAUUCCAAUUAGUUGCUUAAAAGGAAUAGAUCUUCAUAAGUAAAGGAAACACUUAAGAGAAUGAAAGUAUGUAAAGCCUAUG